Molecule: long non-coding RNA, 433 nt
Filed under: Nicotiana benthamiana
Lineage: Eukaryota; Viridiplantae; Streptophyta; Magnoliopsida; Solanales; Solanaceae
Description: long non-coding RNA (NBEN_LNC016346)
Source: RNAcentral
AAAUUUGCCACCAACUUUCCAAUUGCACAAAACAAGAUCUGGCUAGCAUAUCAAAGUGUCACAAGUCAAGAAAAACAACAAGAGCACUGAGCGGGUAAUAAUCAACAUGUGUUGAGGGAUUUUGGUGAAACACAAAGGCUUGGUAGAUGUCGGGUCAUGACCAAUGCAAUAGAUAAAGGGUAUUGGGUUGAGCGAAGAAUAGAUAUUUUCUGUGACAAGGGCACAACGAAAGGAGUAAUAGACCUCAAGGUCAGGGGCCAGGGGGCUCAAUUUAAAUGAACGGCAGACUGUGGGUAACAAUCAACAUGCUUUGAGGUUUUCAUAAGGCACGAGGGUUGGUAAAGCAGUGCAACAAAUAGAAGAGGUAUUGCUCGGUGCCAAGAAUGGCAAAGGAAGUGGUUAGGCAAGAAAAAAGGUGGGUCUUCAAAUAAAA